CUCAAAGCCUUUGUUUUCUACUCCUAAUGAGGCCACUGGUACCAAACCUGCCUGUGAAACACGACCAGAUGAGAAAGACCAGAAUGUAAUCUCAUGAACUCGGAGUACAGGCACUUCAGAGAUCUGCAGGAACAUGCCCUUCAGGUUGGCUAUAACGAUGCCAGCCAGCACAGACUGAAUGACAAAGAUGGAUGAUAUUAUCAGAGGCUGAAGAAACGGCCCAAGAGCCAAGAUCACUAUCAUCACCAUCACAGCUGAGAUGAGACCAGCAACCUGCAGCAGUGAGAAGACAGAACAGUUCAAUAUGGCGAGUACUGUAUUCACACAUUGACACAAACAUGUUAAAGUACUUGUGCAAAGGCUUGUUCACUCCAAGAACUAUAACUGUAAACAUACAGUGCCCAGUAUAAAUGCAAGUACACCCCUUACAGAAAUAUAUUUUAAACUAGCUAAAUAAUAAGACAUCUGUAUGUUUAUUAGAUUAGUCAGUACCAAAGCCAAACUGGGACAAAUUUAAAUAACUUAAGAUCACGAUGCAAAAAUUAGUACAACCUAAUGAGUAUGUUAGGGGAAAUUCUUUAAUAAAAAGGAAAAAAUAUAGGUUUUGGCAGUUGAGUUUUUUUUAACACCUUAUUUGUAGUUAAAUGUAUUAUCUUUCUAUUCUUAAAUAUGUUAGGUAUCCACACUCUUAUUUUAUUGAAUAUAGAUGUUUA
This is a non-coding RNA of Danio rerio (zebrafish), 713 nucleotides long. The record is from RefSeq and is a predicted model, not a curated record. NCBI's taxonomy places the organism in Eukaryota, Metazoa, Chordata, Actinopteri, Cypriniformes, Danionidae.